Pangasianodon hypophthalmus (striped catfish) is the source of this 7981-nucleotide long non-coding RNA. RefSeq lists it as uncharacterized. The transcript has 4 exons. The record is from RefSeq and is a predicted model, not a curated record. Lineage: Eukaryota; Metazoa; Chordata; Actinopteri; Siluriformes; Pangasiidae.
GAUACAUAGAUAGAUAGAUAGAUAGAGAGAGAGAGAGAGAGAGAGAGAGAGAGAGAUUAUUGGAUGAUUGAUUGAUUUCCAUAGAUAUCUUUAGUAAAUACUACUCUCUUUGCGUUUGCUUGACUACAGUUUCUAAAUUCUCCUUUUUUUGGUAUACAGCGGGGUCUAAAAGUCGGAGAGCACUAAUGAAAAUGCUUCUAUUUUUUUCUAUUCUAAUUUAAUACAACAGUUUUCAUUACAAAUUAUAUUACUGACAACAACUUGAGUGAAGAGUAGAAUCUUUAAAAUAUUUACAUGCAUUUCAGAGUUUCUUAGUGUUUGGUAUAGCCUGACAUGGACUCCACAAGCAAAACCUUAUGAUCCAUUUUAGAUCAAAUCCAUCAGAGUGUUGUCUGAACACAUGCUUCAAUAGAAGAGAUUAGACAUGAGGAAAAUCUGACCUUUUGUACAAAACAGAUAACAUGGUCAAUAUCACAAGUUUGCUAACAUUUAAAUAGGGACCUAGAAAUCGUGCAUAAUCUUCAAGAUAUUGAACAGUUACUUUCUUCGUUUUAAAUAUUUCUAAAUUCAAAAACCUUAAAUGACCAGAUUUUCAGUGUGGUCUCAGACUGCUGGCACCCAAUGUAUAUUCAACAACUCCAGGAAAGGCAGUUCAGAUUUCAUUAUGGGAGGAGUCAUGUCAAAUAAAUUUUAUUGUCUUCUCAUCCAAACACACAUGGGGAAAAAAUACAAGAAUAAGGAUGCCCUCAAGGUAAAUAUAAAAUCCUCUAGAUUAUGUAUUCACAGAAGAAAUAACUAGAACGUAAUGAAGAUGGCUUUACCCACAGAGGUAAUCUGAUAUGCCAGAUACCUAGUGUGAGUGAUGGAAUGUGACAGUGUAGUACAUUAGGUUGCACUACAGACUUGGUCAGAGGCCUUGUCAGAAACCAGCAGCUCCAGUCAUUCAUCUCUCCCAAACACACAAGUACACACAAACAUGCCACCAGUCACAGACACUAUGUCUCCUCUUGGCAUGUGAUGAUGACAAGUUUUAAGCAUUGACAUCUUCUUUAUAGUAAGUUUGGAGAUACAGUAGUAUGUACUUACUUGGCUGUUACUGAAAGCUCAUUCUGCUGCAGUACUCUUGGCUUCUGGAAAACCUCCAAAUUUCUCAUUCUGUUUUAGGCUCCUCUUACAGGAGUUCAUGAUCCUGACAUAAAAACCGCGCAAGGCAUGCUUCCCAUCAUGCUGUACCUGUGUCUGUACAUAUCUCUGGUGUAAAACCCAAGCUUGUGGCAGCUCUGAUUUGAAAGCCUCUUUAGUGGUUUAUUUAGAUAAGGAGUGGACAUUUAUAUAAGUUGCAAAAGAUUUUUUUUUUUUUUUUUGGUGAGUGCAGUUUCCUAUACUGCAUGUAUAAUUAAAAUAGCAUUAAAUAAAUAUACAAUUUAUGAUUUUAUAAAUGAUAAACAGCUGACAUGUACUAGUCUGAAAAAGGCCACUGAUGCUUACUUAAAAUGAUGCAUGUUACCUAUAUUUGUCUUAAAAUGAUCUAAGUAUUUUAGAAUUACAAAUAGAUUUAUGCAUUUAAAUAAGACAUUCAACUAUUAUUUAAGCCACUUUCAAUUAACUGAUUUGUAUUAUUAACAACUGUCUUGGAUGUGUCUAGUUGUAUGUCCUGUAUGUUUUUUAGGGCUAUGGCUUAUAGGUUUCUUGGCUGGUGCCUGAAAAUGAACCAGUGUCCUUUGACACUCUCAAGUAGAGCAGCCGGAAAUUCGAGCUGCCUGAGGAGGGGGAAGAGGUGUGGGCCAUUCCAACUUACACAACGCCUCAUCUCAGCACCACCACCUGACCCAGCGUCACCUGCUUUUACAUGAGGGAUUUGAUUUGCACUUUGGCCCGAUUUUGAGCCAUGGGGUCUGCUGAAAGCUUCUGAGCUGCUGGAGAAUCGGAUGAGAGAGCGUGCCAUGUACAUGGUGAGAAACAUGCAGCUCUGGUCACGUAAACAUUUAUGAGGACAUCUUAUAAUCAAAGAGCUCCUUUCAUAAAGCAUAUUGUGAACAGAUUGUUUGAUAGCUUUGAACUCCAUGUGCGGCACAGGGAAAAUGGGCUCUCUUUCUUUCCACAGUACUACAAGAUAAGAGAUUGCAUAGGCUAUAAUAUUACUUCUUGCAUUCAUGUUCCUAUUAUAUACUGACACUGCAUUCAUUAAUCCCUUGGAUUUCAGUGCACAGUCUUUUAGUUCUUAUAGACAUGUUAAGUGCAGGCCAUGGAUAAGCCAUAAUUUAUCAUCCAUAACUUGAAAAGAUAUGUCACACACACACACACACACACACACACACACCAAAGCAUAUGGUUGAAUGGAAUACAACUGUUAUGUUGAUCUUCCUUUACAGUUCUAACAAGAAAAGGUUUUAGUUUGCACUACAGAGUGAGCAGAGGAUGGGGGCUCAUUCCGGAAUAAGAAGCGUUUGUGUUGGCCCACACACUGCAUGCUUUUGCGUAUUUUCUGCAUCAAAGCACCUGAUUCACUAUAUGAAGUGCAUGAUAAUUAUCUGUUGAGUUGUGUGUAAAAGACCCCCAGGGACAGAAUCUGUAGAAAUUAAAUCUACCAGGAACUGCAUCUAAAUAAGACUAAGGGUUGUGUCAUGAGAUGCCCGACACAUGAAAGAAGUGAAUUUAGAUAAUCAUUUGCAGAAGUAAACAAGAUAGACUGGUAAAGAUUCACUAGGUGUUACCUACUAAAAUUCAGUAGACCAUGGAGGUGAAACCUAAUUCCUGGAGGGUCACAGCUCUGCAUACUAUUUUCACUUUUCACACUCACCUGCAUCACGGAGGCACUGAUAAUUAAGUGAAAGCUCUAAAACAUCAUGCUUAGGAAUAGAGAUUUAAAGUAUAACUUCUUUCCGUAUUGUGCACUAUAUGGCCAAAAGUUUGUAGACACCUGACCAUCUCACCCAUAUGUGGUUCUUCCCCAAACUGUUGCCACAAAGUUAGAAGCACAUGACUGUAUAGGAUGUCUUUGUAUGCUGUAGCAUUAUAGUUUCCCUUCACUGAAACUAACAGGCCCAAACCUGUUCCAGCAUGACAAUGCCCCUGUGUACAAAGCGAGGUGCAUGAAGACAUGAUUUGCCAAGGUUGGAGUGGAAGAAGUCAAGUGGCCAUACACAGAGCCCUGACCUCAACCCCACUGAACACCUUUGGGAUGAAUUAGAACACAGACUACGUCCCAGGCCUCAUCACCCGACAUCACUGUCUGACCUCACUAAUGCUUUUACGGCUGAAUGUGCAAAUCCCCGCAAACCUUCACAGAAGAAUAGAUGUGAUGUUCAAAAAGCACAUAUGGGUGUGAAUGACAAACCUUUAGUCAUAUAGUAUACACUGAAGGGAUUUAAAACUGCAAGUAGAACACUUCAGUAUUAUUGUUUUUAUGGGUCUAUAGAUUACACCCAUUAAGGUAGCAUGCAGAACCUGUAACUACAUAAAGGAGGUAUUCUAUUCUAUUCUGUGCUAUUCUAAAGCUAUUCUAAAUAUAUCAUGACAAUGUCUUUUUCAUUAUUUUAAGAGAUAAAGAUGCAAUUCCUAAACUUCCCCAUCAUAAUGGUAUUAUUUUAUUUCAUUAUGAAAAUAAAGGUGCUCACUUCUCUUGCUUAUGUUUAAAAGUACAAUCUCUCAGUUGCUGUUACAUUUUUUAUGAAAAAUGGCAACCAAAUUUGGCCAUUAUAAUUUUUAAUCUGGAAUAUAGUAUGUUUUGCCUUAUGUGACACUGCCUUUGAUAAGUUAUUAGCACAGUCUUAAGUUAAUGCACUUUGAAUUGGAUAAUGCAGCAUCCUCAGAUCCUUAUUACAUACAUUGAUUUUUCUUGAGAGUUGUCUCACAAUUGAUUCAGAGAACUUUAUGCGUCUCUGCUUUAUGCCCUGUGAUAUUGACCAGGUUGUUUUUUACAGUAUGAUGUACCAGCACACCAUCCUCUGAGGCUUAAUAGCAGUUGUUGAAUACACAUGUUUAUUAUAUUAGUUUGAUUAUUUGAAAAUUGUCCUGCUGUUUAUAUAGGGCUGUACACCUGUAUGAUGGAUUUUGCAUGCUGAAUGAAUGCACUACUAUUUUCAUCUUUCAGCGAGUGCAAAUUAAUGCUGCCACAACACCAACAUGAAGUAAUUUGCAGUGUACAGGCCCCCAGUGGAGAUUUGAUUACAGGCUUUAUUCACUUGGGCAUUGUCACGAUUGCACUGGUCAAAUUACACAGUCCAAUCUGCUGACAAGUAAAAGCAAGACAUUAUGCCAGAUAUCUUACUGACAAGUUGGAGAGAGGCUGUUUAUCACAGCAACUACAGGUCACUUUUCAUCAAUCAAAUGGCCAUGGAGGUAGAGUAGCAAUGUAAUGAAAGGGAGAACAAAUGAGUCCCCUUUAGACCCUGCACAACAUUCUCACAUGGAUACCGCAAAAUCAUUAAACAAGGCAAGGCACCUAAAAGUCAACUUAAAAAAUAGUCAACUUAAAAAAUAGUCAACAUUAAAAAUGUUUGUGACACAUCCAUAUAAAAAAAUAUUUAUUCCAUGCUCUGACAACUGACGUGAAAUCUAUGCUGAGUGUGUAGUCAAAUAAAAGGGUGUGAAUGUGCUUCACUAACUAUACUAUACUAAGUAUUUUCAGACUUUUAUUGCUUGACUCUUGAUUGUUCACUCUAAAAGGAAAUUGGAGUUUUGGACUCUUAGAUGGAUGAUAUUCUAGGUGCAACUUUUUCUCCAAAAAUCAGGCAAAAAUAGUAACAGACUUUGUGUUGUUUUAGUUAAUUACUUUUGCUUUGCUUUUUGCUUUUUCGCAGGCUCCUUGUUUCUUGCAGCCAAACUGCCAUUUUCAUUGUUUGAAGUGAAUAACAACUUUACUCUGCUUUGCUUGUCUCAAUAAUAAAUUGACACCUUUGUAAAAAAAAAAAAAAAAAAAAAAAAAAAGAGUGCUGAUCCAGAUAGCAGGUGCCAGAUAUCCUACACUCAUUUUCAUGUACACACAUGCUAUGGUUAUUUAUAGAUAUUUAUACAUCUUAUACAUCUGUUUAAUACCUCAGUUUUGUAACCAGGCUUAAUAAAUCUCGACAAGCAAUGUUCACCUUGUUCACCAUAUAAUGACUGCAAACUAACAGUUCCACUUACUGUAAAUUAUAAUGAAUGCUUGACAUUUUCAGUGAUAUCACAUUAUCACUGAGUCUGAAUUGGUGUUACCUUUGUGCAAUCAGAAUAUGUAUUAUUUAAACAUAAUUUUAUUGACCUUUCCUCUUUAUCCAAUGGCUCUAGAGACAGGUGAACUCCGCCGGUCCAUCACAACAUUUAAUUAUUUCUGAUUUUAUCAUUUAUGGUUUUGUGCAUGUCUGUGUGAAUCCACUUCAGAGGCUUUACGGCCCAACCACACAGUGGUGCUGUUUCACUGAACACAAUACACCCCGUCUACAGCGUCUAAGCAUGCCGUUUGAAUGAACACGUCCAGUCAUGAAGUGAUAAAAUAUACCAUGCACAUUUACGCUGGAGGAUGCAAGAUGGCCAAUCCACAUCAGUCUUCUGCAGUUGUGACUCACCUUCUGCUGCUGUGGAUGUUCCCACAUGGAUACCCUAACACUGUGCUUGUAUCCAAGAACUGCUGCUGUAAUCAUGUAGACUGUCCUGUGUUUUUCACAGGACUCUUAUUCACAAUAUGCUCACAAUAAACAUCCUUUCAACACACUUAGAACUGUUUGAUUGGAUAGUAAUGACUUUUAAUUGCACUAUCCAGUGUCAUGCAUUUUGAGUUUGCCACUGUUGAGUUAGCCACUGUUGAGUUAGCCACUGUUGCCUCUGGCACUAUCCAAAUCAACUUGAAUUGAAUUGAAUUUAAUAAUUGAUUUACCAUUAAUACAAAUAUGUAUUGACUUGCAAAUCUUGUGGUUAUGUUUGUGUCUGUAAAGAGCUACUCUGAAGAGAAAUCUGCUGCCCAGUAGUUUUGAAAGUCUGAGGGUAUGGCUCAUCAAGUCAAUUGAUGAGGUCAGGAGGUCAGAAGAACAUAUUCCUCACUACAUUCUCCUCUACACAGCAGACUAUCUAACCAGCCAAGAAUCCUUUCAAAAGGCGUAAUCACCGAUCAGCCCAUACAAUCAUACUGACACUUCCAGCACCACAUGGUAAUUUUCUAAUAUCCCAAUCUAUUAACAUUUCAGCUCAAAUUAUGCGGUUCUUGAGCACUGCCAGGCUUCAAAGCUUGUUUAGGAAGUAUGAUUUACUGACAAAGACUUAAACAGGCUGAUUGGAGGUAAAAUAAAGCAACUGUUGUUCAUGAAAUUUGUCAACAGUCAACCUCAGUGAUGAUGCAAGAAGUAGCAAUAUUUUGACCACAAGGAAUAAAAUAAUCAAAUUGCAGAUGAAUCCAUGGUUUACUGGAUCCUGCAUAUAUUGGGUCUGAUUCAUCCGUCCAAUAUUUCAUGACCUUAGUAUAACCUAUUCAUUCUUAACUAAUAUAUAGUUCAACCAAGAUCACGAUUCAUCAGUGAAAAUGCUUUCCCUCUUCGCUCUUCCUUUCUCCCUGAACUGAAUUUAUUUAUAAAUUUUCUGAGCAUAUAAGAAAGGAAUUACAAGCUCAUGGGAUGCCAAAAUCUGCACUAGUUAUACUUUUGGUAAGUGUGCAUGCUAGGCAGCCAGAGGAACUACUGUAGCAGUUCACUUAUGCUCUAAAGCAGAGUGCAAUUUGCCUGGAGUGAUUGCUGCAUGGAUAGAAAACCGAUGGGCUGCUCCGUUCCGUCUCAGCCUAUUGAAGUCCCUAACUAAGCUCACUCAAAGACCCAUAAAAGCAAGAAGACAUGGAAGGCUGAGAGAGGCUAUGUGUGUGCAUGUGUGUGUGUGUGUGUGUGUGUGUAAAAGAGGAGAAAAAAAGCACUGAAAAGGAUGAUGAGCAGAUAAAUGAGUAAAUGCAGAUUAACAGAAUAUGUUACAUCUCAUUAAGCCAUGAGCUAUAUGUGCUUUAUUGAGAAAUAAGAGGAGAGAGAAAAAAUGAUGAAAAAAGAGAUAACACUACAUCCCAUAAUGUUAUUACUUCUUUUCUCACAAUCUUGUUCCUAUAUGGCCAAAAGUAUGUGGAUACCCGACUAUCACACCCAUUUGUGGGUCUUCCACAAAAUGUUGCCUCAAAGCUGGAAGCACACAAACUGUAUAUGAUGUCUUUGUAUGCUGUAGCAUUAAGAUUUCCCUUCACUGGAACUAAUGAGCCUAGCCCAAACUUGCUCCAGCAUGACAGUGCCCCUGUGCACAAAGUAAGCUUCAUAAAGACAUGGCUCCACUCUUCUCAUUAUAGAAGAGUGGAAGGUUGUUAUAGGAGCAAACGAGGGAACAACUCCAUAUUCAUUUAAAUAGUUUUGGAAUAGGAUGUUCAACAAGCACAUAUGGCUGUGACGGUCAGGUGGCCACAUACUUUUGACCAUAUAGUGCAUUUCACAUUCCACUAUGUGUAUAAAAUGUGAUUGGUGAUUGGCUAUGCACUAAUCUGAUAUUUAAAAGGUAACGAAAUCAAUUACAUGUAAAGUUGUUAGCAAAACCUCUCAGUGUAUUUGCCAGAAAUAUCUGUUUCCCAGGUAUUUGCUGAUUUCUGCUAAAGCAAGCGUUCUGGCGUGUAACCUGUCAGCAACCUGGACAGCAGGGUUGUGUCACUGUUAUUCUUUAAAAAAAGACUGGUGGAGACAUCAAAAGAUUCAUGACCCUAUUCAGCUAAAAAAUGGAUGCAAUAUUAUAGGACAUGCCUUUUAGAUAACUCUGCCACUGAAAGAGUGAAAGAAAUGGGAUUACCUAAGUAAGAUAUGGAUAGCUUGCCUUGCCUAUAGGACAUGCUAUUUGAUUUUCAUGCUAUUAGACCAUUCUAUUAUAUUCUGGGCAGACACUAUUUAGGUGGAUAUUGUAAAUACUUAUCAAAUUGUUUUAGGGUGGCAAACUGUUGUCCUUGAACUACUGUGUGGCUUCUCACAUUAUAAAACUGCUGUUGCAGGGUGAGAUG